This 253-nucleotide ribosomal RNA is filed under the name uncultured bacterium. RNAcentral's name for it is "partial 16S ribosomal RNA". It matches the Rfam family "Bacterial small subunit ribosomal RNA", at positions 524 to 776 of the family's 1533-position model. The record is from RNAcentral.
UACGAAGGGGGCUAGCGUUGCUCGGAAUCACUGGGCGUAAAGGGUGCGUAGGCGGGUCUUUAAGUCAGGGGUGAAAUCCUGGAGCUCAACUCCAGAACUGCCUUUGAUACUGAAGAUCUUGAGUCCGGGAGAGGUGAGUGGAACUGCGAGUGUAGAGGUGAAAUUCGUAGAUAUUCGCAAGAACACCAGUGGCGAAGGCGACUCUUUGGCCUGUAACUGACGCUGAGGCGCGAAAGCGUGGGGAGCAAACAGG